CGGAUGCGAUCAUACCAGCACUAAAGCACCGGAUCCCAUCAGAACUCCGAAGUUAAGCGUGCUUGGGCGAGAGUAGUACUAGGAUGGGU
This 89-nucleotide ribosomal RNA is filed under the name Oryza sativa Japonica Group (Japanese rice). The record is from RNAcentral. Lineage: Eukaryota; Viridiplantae; Streptophyta; Magnoliopsida; Poales; Poaceae.